UUGGGGUUGCGGACAUAUCAUAACGAAGAGGUAUCGUAAUUGAAGAGGUUUGGAAAGACCCACCACAGAAGGUAAUAGUCCUGUAUGUUAAACGAGAAGACUUUAGAUAUGAUCCAGAGUACCACGGGACACGUGAAACCCUGUGGGAAGCAGGAGGGACCACCCUCCAAGGCUAAAUACUACCUAGUGACCGAUAGCGUAUAGUACCGUGAGGGACAGGUGAAAAGAACCCCGGGAGGGGAGUGAAAUAGAACCUGAAACCCUGCACUUACAAGCUGUGGAAGCACAUUUCUUGUGUGACCGCGUACUUUUUGUAGAACGGGCCAACGAGUUACGUUAAGUAGCAAGGUUAAGCACUUAAGGU
RNAcentral lists this ribosomal RNA (364 nucleotides) under Clostridioides difficile. Its description in RNAcentral is "partial 23S ribosomal RNA". It matches the Rfam family "Bacterial large subunit ribosomal RNA", at positions 292 to 659 of the family's 2925-position model. Lineage: Bacteria; Bacillati; Bacillota; Clostridia; Peptostreptococcales; Peptostreptococcaceae. The record is from RNAcentral.